Molecule: long non-coding RNA, 1917 nt
Organism: Cyprinus carpio (common carp)
Lineage: Eukaryota; Metazoa; Chordata; Actinopteri; Cypriniformes; Cyprinidae
Source: Ensembl
AUGAUUGUCUCUUCACCAGGGUCAGAAUGGAUUGAUUGGAAAGUCUGGUCCAUCGGGUUUGAUGGGUCUAGAGGUAGGAUUUUUAUAGAAGAUGCACCUAAAUCCACUUACAUGAUUGUAGUUUUUGAUGAGAAACACGCUUUUGGAGUCGGUUGGUUGGUUGAGUAUAUAAGUUGGCUUUCAAUGCAGGGCUUGAUAGGCCUUCGGGGACCACCAGGAGCAAAUGGUUUACCAGGCCCAAAGGGGGAAACUGGAUCACCUGGGGCACCUGGCCAUCCAGGAGAUCAAGGCAAUCGGGUAAAAUCAAUGACUGUUUUCCACGAGACAAUAGUUUGGAUAAAAUAACAUUUGAAUUGUGAACUGGGAAUAAGACAAGAGAUGCUGCAUUUCUCUCACUGCCCUUUUUUGCAUAUAUAUUGGCUGCUGUAUAAGAUUACAGGAAUUGAGGGGAACCUCUCAAUGUCAAAUUAAAGUCAUUAUGUUUUUGUUUCAUCUACAGGGAAUAGCUGGGCAGAGAGGCUUACAAGGGGUUAUGGGGAAGGCAGGACCUCAGGUUAGUACGGCUAACCAUUUCAAGGUAAAUCCCGGUUACAGUGCUAGAUUUUCAGCGGAUAAAUAAUACUGAUAUUGCAGGGAGCCGUGGGUCCCAGAGGCCCAGAGGGCUUAUUGGGUCCAAAGGGUAUGCCGGGACAAGAGGGACCUAAAGGUGAACCAGGAAAACAAGGACCUCCAGGGCAGAUGGUGAGGCGCUAAAUUAAAUAAGAUUUUUUAUAAUGAGCGUCUAAACUCUGCUUGAUGUCAGCUGAUGAUUAUCUCUUGUCUAGGGACCACCGGGCCUUCCUGGCAACAAAGGACCCUCUGCAUUACAAGGAAAUGAGGUAGCAUUUCAACAUAACAUUGUCCAAACUUUUUUUCAUAUUUAGUCAGAUAGAAAUAUUUGAAUGUUCUUUGAUCAAAAUUCAGAAAUGUAUUUAUUAAUUUAAUUGCGUUGUGCUUUUAUUUCCAGGGAAUUCCAGGAGAAAUGGGAGCUGAUGGCCCUGUUGGCCCACCAGGGCCACAAGUCAGUAUUUGUGUGAUUUAAUAUCAGGGAAAAUUCUGCAAUGAAUCAGCAACUAAAUGGUGAUAUUCUUUCACCACCUGAAGACUGGGAAUGAUGUAUUAUUUCUGUUUUAUUAUGUAUUAUUGAUGUUUUAGGGUCCAACUGGCAAAUCUGGGCCUCAGGGAAGGGAUGGACCGAAAGGUCAGAAGGUCAGAGUGAUCUAAAUUUCUUUAUUCAUCAUAGGAUUGAAUUUGCAAUCUGAUAUCAUAACAUUCACUUUAUUCCUUCUCUAGUUGCUCUGUUAAUUUCUGAAAAUAUUACGACUAAUCACUUUAACAAUCAGCCUUACUGUAUAUACUAUACUUUUCUAAUUUUUCAGGGAAAUGAUGGUCUAGAUGGGCCUUCUGGAAAACCUGGGCAUACUGGGAAGAGAGUAAGUAUAGUGUUAAGUUUUUUUUGUGUGUGUGUUUGUGGGAAACAUUUCCAGCAUUAACAGAACCAUUUAAAUUAUUCUUUGACUGUUAGGGGAAAAAGGGAAAAGCUGGUCAGAGGGGUCUCAGAGGACCUAGAGGGGAGAAGGUACUCAUUUAUUAAUUAGUCAUUUUUAAAUGCUACUUAACUUGGAAAGAUAUGAUGUUCAUCACAAAUUCAUCACAUUUAUUUUUAUGUGUAAUAGGGCCAACAGGGAGCAAUGGGAAAGACUGGACUUCCUGGCAGACCAGGAAAAUAUGUAAAUGAAUACAAAUGGGUAAUGUACAUAUGAUAUAUAUGAUGAAAAGACAAUGAGAAUAUUCAUCAGUGGUCUACAUUUAUUGUUUCAGGGUUUACCAGGUAUUCGAGGCAAUAAAGGAGAGAGCGGUGAAAAAGGCUUUGAGGUU